GAUGAACGCUGGCGGCGUGCCUAAUACAUGCAAGUCGAGCGAACGGACGCGAAUCUUGCUUCUCUGAUGUUAGCGGCGCACGGGUGUGUAACACGUGGAUCCCCUCCCUAUAAGACUGGUAUAACUUCGGGAAACCGGCUCUAAUACCGGAUAAUCUUUUGCACCGCAUGGUUCAUUAGUGAAAUACGGUCUUGCUGUCACUUCUCGAUGGAUCUGCGCUGCAUUAGCUAGUUGUUACGGUAACGGCUUACCAAGGCAACGAUGCAUAGCCGACCUGAGAGAGGGAUAGGCCACACGGGAAGUGAGACACGGUCCAGACGACUAAGAGAGGCAGCAGUAGGGAACCUGCCGCAAUGGGCGAAAGCAUGACGGAGCAACGCCGAGUGAGAGAUGAAGGUCUUCGGAUCGUAAAAAUCUGUUAUUAGGGAAGAACAUAUGUGUAAGUAAAUGUGCACAGCGUGACGGUAACUAAUCAGAAAGCAACGGCUAACUACGUG
RNAcentral lists this ribosomal RNA (497 nucleotides) under uncultured bacterium. RNAcentral's name for it is "partial 16S ribosomal RNA". It matches the Rfam family "Bacterial small subunit ribosomal RNA", at positions 28 to 507 of the family's 1533-position model. The record is from RNAcentral.